UUUCCUGUGGGCAGAGGUGUGGCUCAGGGCUCUGCCCAGGACGCUGCCCUGCGGGCCCCAAACCACCCCUGUGCCUGGUGCUGACAAAGCUCCUGGGUCUGUCUCCUGCCCUGCCUCUGCUCCAAGCCACCUCCUCCAGGAAGCCCUCCCUCCUGUGAGCUCCCAGCAAGUGGAGUGCUCACUGUCCAUCUGUCUCCUCUGAGAGCACGCUGCAGGGAGAGGGUAGUUUAUCCUCCUUCAUGUCCCUGUCACCUGGCACCUCUGGGAAAGCCACGUCCUGAGCUCUGGCUGGGUUGGCAGAUGCAUGGCAGCAGUUUCCCUCUGGACCCUUUAUGCUGCACGCGAUAAAUCCGAAGCAAUUUGUGGAAACUGCAGUCCAGCCCUCAGAGGGUCUGAAGAACGCCAUUUAAAGAGACCAAAAUCCUGCCCCAUUCCCCCAACCUGCCAGGCCUGCCUUCCGCUUCCCGGGCAGUUCCUGCCGCCCUGCAACCCUCAAAGUGCGCCUGGGGAAGCCCAAAUGGGCAUCUGCACCCAAACUGAGGUCGGAGGAGAAAGAGAAAGGGGCAGGGGAGGGGGCAACUCUGGCCUCCAGCCAUUGCCUCCAAUAAGGCUCUGACCUGGGAGGCGGCACCUAACCUGUUCUCAGACCCUGGGGACCCCCACACCCGGGGCCUGCGUCGGCCGAGCCUGAGCUGGGUCUCAGACGCGUGGUGACAAGGGAGGAGGGCAUCGUAGGGUGCCUGCAGGGGCUGGGGGGCUGCGUCUGCUCCUGCCCCCCCACCCCUCCCCUCCCCCCUACUUAGUCCUCUUUUACAGAUGAGGAAACUGAGGCUCAGGGAGGGGAAGAGAAUGGCAGGGGCCACAGAGCUGGUCAGCAGCGGGUAGAAUGGGGUCUUCGAUGCUGACCCAGACCUACGGCCGUCUGGGCUGCCCCACAGGUUGGGGGCUGUUACUCAGAGUCAAGGGUGCUUGAGGACAGAGCCCCAGAAGGGUCCAGGGCUGAGGGAAGAGUGGGCUGGAGGAGGGACCCUUGGCCUCAGAGGAGCAUGGAGUAGAGAAUGAGCUGAGUUUCUCCAUUGUCCCCAAGGGCGCGCUCGCCCAGGGAGACCCUGAGGCCGCUGGAGCUGAACCAGCAAGACGGGGAGAAACAGUGGGGUCAGAUCUCGCCACUGCAUUUUGCAGGAAGUAAGUCUGGUGACACUGCUUGGCUGUUAUGCUCAUUCCCAGGUCCAGAAUCCAGAUGCAGACCAAGGUCAGAGGGGAAGAGAGGCACUGCAACCCCUCCUGAUGACUUGCUACCCCGCCCCUCCCACCCUGGGGGUCCUUGUGCAGCCCCUCUGUCUGGAUGCAGGAGCUCUCAGGGAGACGGGGUGGACGAGUGAUGGAGAAAGCGUGGAGGGGCACAGCCCGAGGUCGGACCCCUACUCCUUCCUCCUCAGCUUUGUGGCCCUGGGCACGUUGUUUAACCUCUCUGAGCCUGGGUUUCCUCAUCCGUCAAAUGGGCGUGGCCUCAGUGGGUGGAGAAGAGAGGAGGAUGGAACCAGGGAGGGGUCCAGACAAGGCCCCUCCCCACCCACAGCCCACCACAGGCCCUCACGACCCUCUGAGGCCCUGCUGGGAAGUUGAGCCCAAGGCUCAAGAUCAGCCCAGGGAGGGAAGCCUUGCCUUUUGAACUUGUAGAGGAUGAAGGCCCCCACCGCGAAGAGCCCGAUGACAAAGAGGACUGCCACCGCCCAGUAGCCGCCACCUCCUCCCAGCCUCGGAGAAUCUGAGAACAAAGCAGGCCGUUAGCGGUCACCGUGGCACCCCGCGGCCUCCCUAGCUGGGAGGACGGCUCCCCUGAUCUGGCAGGUUCUUCAGGCCUGGGUGUGGCUGGGAAGUGUGGGCAGAUUUUACAGGAUGAGGGGUCACGCUCUGCAGCUGCGGCCUUGGAGGAAACCCCGCCCUGGCCCCCAGGUCUCCCGCUGUGUAAACCCCAGCCCUGGCCACACGCCUGCGACGGCCGGAACUCCUCCGCCCAGACCUGCACUGUGCGGGCAGGGCUCUUCACAGGAGCAGAAGGCAGCCCUGCAGCUUCUGCGAAGCUCCUUGCCCCGCAGAGGGGAGGACAGUCCAUGGGGGCGGGGGCAGAGACAAACGAAAACAAAAGCUCCGUGUUGCCUCUGCCAGGAGGGACAGUGGGGCCCUUCAGUCUGGCCGGGUUUCAACCGGGGCGACCACCCAGCCAGGAGGAGCAUGUGGGCUGCGGAGGGGGCCCUCUGCUCCCCCCCACAGUGACGGGCAUUGUCCGAGGGGCCGGGACGCACGCGCACCCACCCUGCAGGGCGAGCCCAGGCCAGGCCUCUCACCUGUGUCCACGUCCCUCAUGGCCACCAGGACCCGGACCCCACCUCGCAGAAGGAAGCUGAUCUUCUGUGCGUUCAGCGCCUGCUGGAUGGCCGUGAGCCUCUGAAAGCACAGAGAGGGGGUGUGGGGGCCUCAGAGACCCAUCCGGGGGAGCAGGACAGCCGGACAGACGUCCACCCCAACUCUCUUGUGCCGUGGGCCUGGGAGGGCCACUCAGCCUUGCUUGGCCUCAGUCGCCUCAGCCAUAAAAUGGGAAUGCUGGCCACCAGCCAGCUCUCACCAAGAACCUACAAUGGGACGCGAGGUGACCCAGACGGGGCCCUGCCCUCAGAGAGGUUCAGUUCAGUCCGGACCAUGGAGUUGGGGAAACCCAGGGAUGUUCCAGGAGGCCCCCAAGCCCGGACGUCAUCAGAAAAGGCUUCUUGGAGGUAGAAGACCAAGAAGAGGACAAGAUGGGGACAGGACAGGUGACCCAGGCAGGCGAGUGACCCCACACCCGAGGCGGAGAAGCCCCGGGAGGUGCCGUUGCUGGAUCAUGUGCAGGGGAGCAGCUGGCCUCUGGGGCGCCCAGCUGGUUGGCAACUCACAAGGGGUGUUCAGAAGGGAACCUAUCAGCCCAGGUGGGUGUCAGGUGUCACCCUUCUGCACGGGUGGGUGCAGAGGUGCUGGGGAAGGAGGCCCUCAGAAGGAUGGCGGUCCCCGCGGCUGCCGGUCCAGGGCCUCGGGAGGACAUGCCUGGGGGGGCCUCUGCUUACCGCCUCCCUGAGCAGCGUGGUAGCACCUGCCAUUCCACGAGGACUGUUCCCGGCUCACGGGACCGAUGGUCCUGAGUCAGGGACCGUGUAAACAAGAAGCCACCAGCCCCAGACUUGAAGGAUCUGGAAGACCCCUGGUUCUGCCCUUGCCCUCGUGGCCCGGAGGGGUCCCCUAGCUUCCUGUUGUCCCGCUGUCCCUGUGGGUUUGCCGGGCUGCACAUUUCAUACAGAUGGAACCACACGAUCUGUGGCUUUCUGUCCCGGCGUUCUUUCCCUGAGCGUCGUGUGUCCGAGGCUCAUCCGAGUUGCAGCAGGUAGUAGAACUUCACCCCUUCUGCGGCUGAAUAAUAGUCCGCGGUGUGGUCACCUUCUGCUUAUCCUCUUAUCUGUGGGGGGGCAUUUGGGUUGUUUCCACCUCGGGGAUGUUAUGACUGACGUCGCCAUGAACCUCGGCGCGCACGCGUGCGUGUGGACACACAUUUCCAGCUUUCUCGGGUACACCCGGGGCUGGGGCUGCGUGUCACACGGUAACUCUGUGCUGAACGGUUUGGAGACCCGCCAGACCGUUUCCAUGGUGGCCGCACCUUUUACAUGACCCUCCCCAGCAGUGAACAAGGGGACGGCUCCUCCACGCGCUCGCCUGCGCUAGUUACUGUCUGCUUGUUAAGGAAGUACAGCCUCCCUAGAAGGCGUGCAGUGCUUCUGAUUCAUGGUCGAGUCUCCAGCUCAGCUGGAUGGGGGCUGGUUUCUGCUCUGUCCUGGAAUCCAUGCCCGGGGGGUCUCCUGGACGGUGUCUGCCCACUUUCCAGUGGCCCUUGCUGUGAGGUGGGGGUGGUGCGGCCAGCUGAGCUGGCACGCCCCCUGGGAAUUCAUCGAGCCUGGUUCCCUGGUCCCCCCCUAUUUCCACAUCACUGUGACCUUGGAGGCCAGAGGCUGUAGCCACAAGGGGGUGGAGGGCGGGCUGCCUGCAUCCGACAGUGAUGGGCCAGAGGGCCCCCAGGAACACCCUCUCUCCCUACUUGGCCUAUUAAGUCCCAGCCAUGCCUGACCCUUGCACACCAUGGGGAUGGUCCCAGCAUCCUGAGGUGUCCCUCAGCCUUUUGCCUCCACAUCAGCCUCUGCUCGGCCAGGCCCACCCCUGCAGUUCAUUCCUCACACGGUGGCCAAGGGUCCCCAACUCAGACACCUAUUCUAGGACCACCAGCAGCGGGUGGUGAAGCGACCCCUGCACCAGGAGCCUCAGAGCUCACUGUAAUCUCUCCAUUUAGCUCCUGAGCCUCUGUGUCCUCCUUUGUGAAGACGGAGGCUUUGCGGGGAUGAGCAGCGCAAGGCACAAGUGUGCUGUGAACUAUGAACUCAGCAUCUUGCCGUGCGGUGGAGAUGAUUGCUUCAGGGCUCAGGGCCAGGGGUGCACGUGUUUGUGAAUGAAGGAACGGGUGGGGGCAAAUAUUUAACUGAUGUCUGCUGUCCACAGGAGAGGCUGUUUUUAACGUGAAAUGAGGUUUUACGGGUGUGACAACAGCAACAUGACACUGGGCGGGGAGGGUCUUGUCCAUUCAUUGUGAAUGUCUCCCCCCAGGAGGGGCGUGGAGCCCCCGUGAGCACAGAGCAAGGGGACCCAGGCUCAACAGGACGCUCGACCACGUCGGCAUCAUGAGUCCUCCUAAGGUCAGACAGUCACGUGACAGUCCUCGGGCCUGGCUCCUGGGAGGCAGGCGGUCCGGUGCCAGUCCCGGCCCUGUUGUUGCGGGGGGGGCCUUCUGACGUCCCUCAGCUGCGUGAGUGCCGAGGGAGGCCAGGGGCGGCAGAGCUGCACACGCCAGCCCCUCUGCCCGGCCCGCCCCCACGCUGAGGCGCCUGAGAAGGAGGGGAUACGCUGCCCGUCCCAGGGCGGGUGGAGGGACUCACCCAGCACGCGGACCACCUUGGAGUCCUGCAGCACCGAGGUCCCGCAGGCGGCCUGCACCGUCACACGCACGUCCCCUGUGUCCCCAAACCGUGUCGUCACAGAGUUCUCCAGGGAAAGCAAGGGCUGCGGGCACAAGCAGGGAUCAGGGCCAGGCUGAACAGUGGGCCCCGCAGUCAGUCUGCUGCCCAGGGCCGCACUGAGGACACGCACUCCCCCGACUCUCAUCAGGACGUGGGCACCUGGGGGCAUGGGGAGGGCCUGGUUCUAGGCUCCCAGCACGAACAGGAGUCUCCCAGUCGCCCCUCCCCUCCAGAGGCCCCAAGACCCUCCCUAUAGCCAGUGUCGGGGGCCCAUGUGGCUGCGGGCUGGGCGCCCUCCCCAUCCCUUUCAUCGUCCCGCCCCCUCACUCAGCUGGGCGUGGCCCCUUCUUCCUCGGACCCCAGAGCCAGGGGGCACACACAUCAGGACUGGGUGUCAAUACCAGCUCAGACCUUGCAGACGGGAGACUGAGGCUCUGGGAGAUGCGGUGACCGGCCCCAGGAGCUCAGCUGGAAGUGGCCCAGCUGCGACUGGAACCAGGGCCGGAGCCCCUCCCUCAGCCCUCCUCUUUCUAGGGAAACACAGCCCCUCCCGUCUGGGCUCUCUGCCGCUGUUUGGGGACUUUCUGACUGGAGGUGCAGAGCAGCAGUGCAGAAUGAAGGAAGGAUGCCCCCUUGGGGUCUCAAGGCCCCUCCCACCAGGCUUCUGUCCUCAGCUCCCCACUGCUUACAGGACACAACCCACAGCCCUGGGAAAAGGCAGAGUCUGAUCCUAUACCUCCUGCGUCCACCACACUUGGACACAGCCGGACCCCACACAGCUGCUCAAGGGGGAGGAAGGGUUAGGGUGCGCCUGCCUCAGCUCCACGAUGUCACCCACUGUGUCCUGCCCAACAUGGAGGGCAGUGCCUGUCCCACUAUCUGCCCCAAGUGGGAGCCUGCAGGAAGGAGGGAUGGCCAGGGGCCCGGGGCCAGCAUACCUGCAGGCUGUGACCGAUCCACCAGUAGAAGACGGUGAGGUUGGGGUUCAGGGGCAGCAGCACAGCUGUGAGGUUCACUUCCUGGUUCACGCCAAUGACAGGAACCACUUCAAGGGUGUGACGCUUGGCCUCAAAGGGGCGAUGGACUUACGGUUGACCUGUACAAAGAGCACCGCCUCGUCGCGGCCUGCCAUGUUCUCGGCCCUGACAGAGACGCGGUAGACGCCAGGACUCUCGUAGCG
Long non-coding RNA from Camelus dromedarius (Arabian camel), 6270 nucleotides. RefSeq lists it as uncharacterized. NCBI's taxonomy places the organism in Eukaryota, Metazoa, Chordata, Mammalia, Artiodactyla, Camelidae. The record is from RefSeq and is a predicted model, not a curated record. The transcript has 7 exons.